UUGGGUUUUUUGUUGACUUUUUAUCCUCUUCCUAAACCUCUCUCUACAGAUCUAAUUUAACAUAUCUUUAACAUUUCUUCUUCAGAUUCUCAAAUCAUCGUCCCUCCGUUUCGACCACCAUUUUUCCUCCUAUUGAUUUUAAAUUCAGUUAUUAUUAUCAGAGAUUUCAUUAUCGAAAUACACCAUAUAAUCCAAUUCACUACUUUAUUCCACCAAACAUAUUUUGGUAAACGAUUACAUCCGGAAAGGAGAGAAGCAAUCUGAAUAGUCGAAUCCAAUCGAUGUGUAUUUUGGGUUUGAUAAAUAUGCAAGUCCGAGGAUUACGUUUGCACCCACGAGUAUAUCUACUCGACUAAUCAAACCAAUUGAGUUGUACAUGUGGAAGUCUCACCCAAUCCAACCGAAGCAUAUAAACGAAACAUCACACUAUCAUUAAGAUAUGUAGUUGUUUUCUUUAACAUGUACGAUUACUUAAUUUUGAAGAGGUGUUAUUAUAUUUAUUGUUUAAACUGUUUUCCAAUAAACUGCAGGAUACCAAAUGACAUGUACUUUCCUGUAGACCGUUUAGUACCAUACGGUAUAUGUGUUUGAACUUUGAAGUGAUAAACAAAAAGGUCGUUUUGAAUGGUUUUAUCAGAGCGGCAUCCAUUGAAGAAGGCUUGAAAGAAUACAGAGGGGAGAAUACUAACAUCGUAUUUAUAGGAAGUCUUCACGUAUUAAGAUUUAGGUAUGAUGAUAGUAUAAUUUAGGGUAUAUUCGUGGAAUGUGGGUGGAAAUCUUCCUAGUUAAUUAGGUAAUAUAUUCUUAACAAUAACGAUAUAUAUUGUAGGUGCAGUUAAGGAUAGAAAUUUAGUCAUAUUCAAGUACAUUACUAAAAACGCGGCUUAAUAAGAUUUUUGGAAUAUUAAUACGUGAUUAUCUGUCAAAUUAAGUAAUUUAAGGAAAAAGAUUGAAUAGCGUAAUGAAUGGAUUUAAUUGUUUGACGUGAUAAGAAGGGAGACUAAUUUAAUAUUCUUUUUCUAUAAACAAUGUUUAACCUUUUGUAGCCCAUUAAGGUUUUUUUGCAGCCCAUAGUAGCCCAUUAAUCGUUUGGCGUGACGCGUUGCUACGUAUGUGGACAAACUGAUUUCUCUAAAGUAUCCAAUUAAUAAUUUCGGGUUAUUUCUAAAUUAAAACCCGACCCGUUAUGUUCGAAUGUCUCUUUUAACCUUAAUGACUUGUCUUAUGUUAAAUUUCGAUAGGGAUAUUUUCGGGUUAAAUUAAAGUUGUACUUCUCUUUUACU
This is a non-coding RNA of Camelina sativa (false flax), 1283 nucleotides long. NCBI's taxonomy places the organism in Eukaryota, Viridiplantae, Streptophyta, Magnoliopsida, Brassicales, Brassicaceae. The record is from RefSeq and is a predicted model, not a curated record.